CAUUUCUAAAUGGUAAACCAUAAGUGAUAGAGACCAAGGGUCUUUAGAUUUGAGGUCCUUGGUCCAAAAAAAUGAAAAUGAGGUCAAGGUCAAAGGUCAAGGUCAUAUUCUAAAUUUUGAUUUUGGCUAAUUUUCCCUUAUUUUCAAAAACCUUAAAAGAUAUCGACAAAUUAUUUUUACUAAAUUGUUAGUUGCGACAUGUUGUAACUUAUAAAUUUUGGUUGGAAGAGUGCGUAAACAAUAAAUGAGAGUUUUCGCCCAUCUUAUAUUUAAAAUCAU
RNAcentral lists this long non-coding RNA (279 nucleotides) under Mytilus galloprovincialis (Mediterranean mussel). Lineage: Eukaryota; Metazoa; Mollusca; Bivalvia; Mytilida; Mytilidae. The record is from RNAcentral.